This 520-nucleotide ribosomal RNA is filed under the name uncultured Glomus. Its description in RNAcentral is "partial 18S ribosomal RNA". The record is from RNAcentral. Lineage: Eukaryota; Fungi; Glomeromycota; Glomeromycetes; Glomerales; Glomeraceae.
CGUAAGGCGCCGAAUGAGUCAUUAAAAAAUUAACAUCAUCCGAUCCCUAGUCGGCAUAGUUUAUGGUUAAGACUACGACGGUAUCUGAUCGUCUUCGAUCCCCUAACCUUCGUUCUUGAUUAAUGAAAACAUCCUUGGCAAAUGCUUUCGCAGUAGUUAGUCUUCAAUAAAUCCAAGAAUUUCACCUCUGACAAUUGAAUACUAAUGCCCCCAACUAUCCCUAUUAAUCAUUACGUCAAUCCUAGAAACCAACAAAAUAAGAUCGAACGUCCUAUUUCAUUAUUCCAUGCUAAUGUAUUCAAGCGUUAGCUUGCUUUAAACACUCUAAUUUUUCAAAGUAACAGUCCAAAUUCCUCGCAACACCAAAUUAAUGGCAUUACGGUUCAUAAGGAAGGAGGAAUCAGUGAGACCAGUACAUACCAGAGGCAUGACCAACCUACUAACCCCGAAAUUCAACUACGAGCUUUUAACUGCAACAACUUUAAUAUACGCUAUUGGAGCUGGAAUUACCGCGGCUGCU